UGGGGAAUUUUGGACAAUGGGCGAAGCCUGAUCCAGCAAUGCCGCGUGUGUGAAGAAGGCCUUCGGGUUGUAAAGCACUUUUUGUCCGGAAAGAAAUCCUUGGCUCUAAUACAGUCGGGGGAUGACGGUACCGGAAGAAUAAGCACCGGCUAACUACGUGCCAGCAGCCGCGGUAAUACGUAGGGUGCAAGCGUUAAUCGGAAUUACUGGGCGUAAAGCGUGCGCAGGCGGUUUGCUAAGACCGAUGUGAAAUCCCCGGGCUCAACCUGGGAACUGCAUUGGUGACUGGCAGGCUAGAGUAUGGCAGAGGGGGGUAGAAUUCCACGUGUAGCAGUGAAAUGCGUAGAGAUGUGGAGAAUACCGAUGGCGAAGGCAGCCCCCUGGGCCAAAUACUGACGCUCAUGCACGAAAGCGUGGGGAGCAAACAGGAUUAGAUACCCUGGUAGUCCACGCCCUAAACGAUGUCAACUAGUUGUUGGGGAUUCAUUUCCUUAGUAACGUAGCUAACGCGUGAAGUUGACCGCCUGGGGAGUACGGUCGCAAGAUUAAAACUUAAAUGAAUUGACGGGGUCAUAGCUGUUUCCU
RNAcentral lists this ribosomal RNA (585 nucleotides) under uncultured bacterium. RNAcentral's name for it is "partial 16S ribosomal RNA". It matches the Rfam family "Bacterial small subunit ribosomal RNA", at positions 355 to 1375 of the family's 1533-position model. The record is from RNAcentral.